This is a long non-coding RNA of Ornithodoros turicata, 1533 nucleotides long. RefSeq lists it as uncharacterized. Lineage: Eukaryota; Metazoa; Arthropoda; Arachnida; Ixodida; Argasidae. The transcript has 2 exons. The record is from RefSeq and is a predicted model, not a curated record.
CCGAAUCGCGGUGAGGUUCUGUUUUGAGAGUGGGGUAGCUGGAAGAACUUUGCAACCCUUUAGGCACAACAUAUGCGACAACUUUUACCUCCUUAAAGGUGUAACUGUCCCACAUUUUUGAUUUUUUUAAAAGCGUGGCAAGAGAGUAAAGAACAUCAUGGGGCUUCGGAAUGAUCUAAUCAAAAUAAACGAUCAACAAAACAAACAUUGCGAUUAAAAAUCGAGAAGGAAAGGGUCACAGUAUAUCGUGUUCCAGGAAAAUAUAAUUGCGAACAUCGAGCGGGGAUGCGUCCGUGUGGAGAUAUACACUAUCGCCGCAGACACACAGUUGAGACCACACCGGCAAAAGCACUUGUAGGCUCGAGUAUGUUGUCGCCCUUGACCUUAUCGGCGCGCCUUUCACUGCGGAAGACAUCGUGUUACAGUCACUUGAAACAACAACUCGAAGGAUGUCCUGUGACGAUAGCGAAACUCAUCUCCAGGUCUGCCCCGUCUGUGUCUUUCAUAUCUCCGACUCCUUUUCUUUUUCUAUGGCAUGUGAAACGCUGACGGUGUGGGCAAGAUAACCAGCCUCGAAGAAGUGACGUCAACCACUCCUCUGGUGUCCGGGGGAGGGUAUUUAUAAGAGAGAUGAAGUAAUUGGCGACACACCAGGGGCUAGGAUUCACCUGACACGCACCGCGCAUCAAGAGGCAAUAUGCGCGUGAUCCUGGUGCUAUUUGCCAUCUUGGUCCUCCUUGCGGGAGCCAGCGAGGCACGCAGACGCCGGAAGGAUCGUGGCAGGACUGGAAGACCAACAACGCCCAGCGGCGACGACCGUCGUUACACUGAAUACCCGCCUGAGCGAGAUGGCAACGGACUAGAUGCUCGCGACGAUAUGGGUCAUCGAUCUCAUAGAAGCUGGUUCGGCGGCGGCCGUGGUGGUGGUGGUAGUGGUGGAGGAGGAGGAGGUGGAGGUGGCGGUUGGGGAGGAUGGGGCGGCUAUGGUGGAGGCGGUGGCUGGGGCAGUUCAGAGGCCGGUCGUGGCUAUGUGGACGAUCGUGUGUAUAGGGACGGCUAUGGCAGAGGUGGUGGUGGUGGUGGUGGAGGAUGGGGUAGAUGGGGUGGUGGUGGAGGCGGAGGUGGCCAUGGAAGAGACUACGGGUGGCGCCGCUCUGGCGAGUGGUAUUAGAGGUUUGUGGAAACAAGCAGCUGUCGUUACCGUGCGCGCAACCACUGCGGGAAAAAUGUAUUAUUCUGGUGCUCUCAAAGAUGCCAUCUUGCAUGCUGCGCUAGUUCGUCAGAAGGGAUAGCGCAAUUAGCUUAUGAUACCGUUGUCAUGUCGCCUCCAAUACACAGAGGCUUCGUUCUUCCAUUUUUAGUGCUGCCCUGACACCCCAUCCCUCACCCGUUGUCAUCCCGCACAACUUCAUUACUGUGGCACUUCGGUGCCUGCCAAGAACAACUGUUUUUUUUCUCUCUCUCUCUCUCUUCUGUUUGAUGACGAUACUGUAAUUGUGAUAAGUUCAAUAAAGCAAAGCUGACGCGCUUCCA